CCUACGGGGGGCAGCAGUCGGGAAUAUUGCGCAAUGGAGGAAACUCUGACGCAGUGACGCCGCGUAUAGGAAGAAGGUUUUCGGAUUGUAAACUAUUGUCGUUAGGGAAGAGAAAGGACAGUACCUGAGUAAGAAGCCCCGGCUAACUACGUGCCAGCAGCCGCGGUAAUACGUAGGGGGCAAGCGUUAUCCGGAAUUACUGGGUGUAAAGGGAGCGUAGACGGUAAUGCAAGUCUGGAGUGAAAGGCGGGGGCCCACCCCCCGGACUGCUCUGGAAACUGUGUAACUGGAGGGCAGGAGAGGCG
RNAcentral lists this ribosomal RNA (305 nucleotides) under uncultured bacterium. Its description in RNAcentral is "bacterial SSU rRNA". It matches the Rfam family "Bacterial small subunit ribosomal RNA", at positions 338 to 659 of the family's 1533-position model. The record is from RNAcentral.